This 465-nucleotide ribosomal RNA is filed under the name uncultured bacterium. Its description in RNAcentral is "partial 16S ribosomal RNA". It matches the Rfam family "Bacterial small subunit ribosomal RNA", at positions 338 to 795 of the family's 1533-position model. The record is from RNAcentral.
CCUACGGGAGGCAGCAGUAGGGAAUUUUCCACAAUGGGCGCAAGCCUGAUCGAGCUACGCCGCGUGUGUGAAGAAGGCCUUCGGAUCGUAAAACCCUGUUGUUAGAGACGAAAAUGCGUGAGAGUAACUGUUCACAUGUCGACGGUAUCUUAACAGAAAGCCACGGCUAACUACGUGCCAGCAGCCGCGGUAAUACGUAGGUGGCAAGCGUUAUCCGGAUUUAUUGGGCGUAAAGGGAAUGCAGGCGGUCUUGUAAGUCUGAUGUGAAAGCCUUCGGCUUAACCGGGGAAGGGCAUUGGAGACUGGGAGACUUGAGUGCAUAAGAGGAGAGUGGAACUCCAAGUGUAGCAGUGAAAUGCGUAGAUAUAUGGAAGAACACCAGUGGCGAAAGCGGCUCUCUGGUAUGUAACUGACGCUGAGGUUCGAAAGCGUGGGUAGCAAACAGGAUUAGAUACCCCAGUAGUC